ACUUAGCUAAAUCGUUUGGUUCAAAACAUUUGCUUGCUGUCUUGGCAUAACAUCAAAAAUGCAUAAACAUCGCAAAAUAAUUGUUAUAAUAAAAUGGCUAUGACGAUGGUUUUAGUA
This is a regulatory RNA element of Lasius niger, 117 nucleotides long. It matches the Rfam family "R2 RNA element", at positions 1 to 104 of the family's 212-position model. Rfam says of the family: This family represents the 3' UTR region of the R2 retrotransposable element. This family is known to interact with the R2-encoded reverse transcriptase in a reaction known as target primed reverse transcription (TPRT). The record is from Rfam. Lineage: Eukaryota; Metazoa; Arthropoda; Insecta; Hymenoptera; Formicidae.